AGAUUGAACGCUAGCGGGAUGCUUUACACAUGCAAGUCGAACGGCAGCGCGGACUUCGGUCUGGCGGCGAGUGGCGAACGGGUGAGUAAUAUAUCGGAACGUGCCCAGUAGCGGGGGAUAACUACGCGAAAGCGUAGGCUAAUACCGCAUACGCCCUACGGGGGAAAGGGGGGAUCGCAAGACCUCGUCACGUAUUGGAGCGGCCGAUAUCAGAUUAGCUAGUUGGUGAGGUAAAGGCUCACCAAGGCGACGAUCUGUAGCUGGUUUGAGAGGACGACCAGCCACACUGGGACUGAGACACGGCCCAGACUCCUACGGGAGCAGCAGUGGGAAUUUGGACAAUGGGGGAAACCCUGGAUCCAGCCAUCCCGCGUGUGCGAUGAAGGCCUUCGGGUGUAAGCACUUUGCAGGAAGAACGGACGUUGAACUAAUAUUACAGCGUCAC
Molecule: ribosomal RNA, 445 nt
Filed under: uncultured soil bacterium
Lineage: Bacteria
Description: bacterial SSU rRNA
Rfam family: Bacterial small subunit ribosomal RNA
Source: RNAcentral